Molecule: ribosomal RNA, 488 nt
Filed under: uncultured bacterium
Lineage: Bacteria
Description: bacterial SSU rRNA
Rfam family: Bacterial small subunit ribosomal RNA
Source: RNAcentral
CUAUACAUGCAAGUCGAGCGAGCGGAACCAACAGAUUUACUUCGGUAAUGACGUUGGGAAAGCGAGCGGCGGAUGGGUGAGUAACACGUGGGGAACCUGCCCCUAAGUCUGGGAUACCAUUUGGAAACAGGUGCUAAUACCGGAUAAUAAAGCAGAUCGCAUGAUCAGCUUUUGAAAGGCGGCGUAAGCUGUCGCUAAGGGAUGGCCCCGCGGUGCAUUAGCUAGUUGGUAAGGUAACGGCUUACCAAGGCGACGAUGCAUAGCCGAGUUGAGAGACUGAUCGGCCACAUUGGGACUGAGACACGGCCCAAACUCCUACGGGAGGCAGCAGUAGGGAAUCUUCCACAAUGGACGCAAGUCUGAUGGAGCAACGCCGCGUGAGUGAAGAAGGUUUUCGGAUCGUAAAGCUCUGUUGUUGGUGAAGAAGGAUAGAGGUAGUAACUGGCCUUUAUUUGACGGUAAUCAACCAGAAAGUCACGGCUAACUAC